CGAGGCGGCCAGGCGAUCGCGGCACCCACGGGUGUCGAGGAAAGUCCGGACUCCUCAGAGCAGGGUGGUGGGUAACGCCCACCCGGGGUGACCCGCGGGCAAGUGCCACAGAAAACAGACCGCCUCGGCGUACGCCGGGGUAAGGGUGAAAAGGCGGUGUAAGAGACCACCGGCAUCCCGGGCGACCGGGGUGGCCAGGUAAACCCCACCCGGAGCAAGACCAGACAGGCGGCGUUCGAGGGUUGCUCGCCCGAGCCGCCGGGUAGGUUGCACCAGGCCGUUGGCAACAACGGUCGCAGAUGGAUGAUCGCCCUCGACAGAAUCCGGCUUACCGGCUGCCUCGUCCC
RNAcentral lists this RNase P RNA (347 nucleotides) under Enemella dayhoffiae. RNAcentral describes it as "Bacterial RNase P class A". It matches the Rfam family "Bacterial RNase P class A". From Rfam's summary of the family: Ribonuclease P (RNase P) is a ubiquitous endoribonuclease, found in archaea, bacteria and eukarya as well as chloroplasts and mitochondria. Its best characterised activity is the generation of mature 5'-ends of tRNAs by cleaving the 5'-leader elements of precursor-tRNAs. The record is from Rfam by way of RNAcentral. Lineage: Bacteria; Bacillati; Actinomycetota; Actinomycetes; Propionibacteriales; Propionibacteriaceae.